CUUACCUAAGGAGGGCAUCAGAGCUGUGAGAAGAAUCCACAAGCCUGAGGAACUAUCUGUGUAUGUGGAACAUAAGCAGUGGACUGGAACAGGGCUCUUCCUCAGAGUUGUGACCAAGCCAUCUCAGUAAGGUCUUGAUUUGUUGGAGGAUGACCUUCCUUCACAUUGUAUUAAGGUCUUGUCUCAUCUGACAUCAUUUUGCCAAUCGGCCCCGAGUCCUUCAGCAAGAAUCCACAGCACACCACCUGAAGUUUUUUGGUAUGUUUUUCUAUAUGGAGACUCUAUAUGCAAUGUAAGGCUGACCAGUAGAUGUGUGUUGUUAGUGAAGAAUCUUUUGUCACAUGUCCUUUUAUAUGCUUGUUUUAGCAAAACAUUUUUUCUGUGUCUUCUUUAGCAAAACUUUCCUUUACCACUCUGUCUUUACUCUCUUUCCUGUGUCCACUUUAGCAAAAUGUUCCUUCAUGUGUUUGCCCUGGCAAAACAUCAUCCUGGCUUUCUAAAGAAUGCUUAAGUUUCCACUUCACUCUUCUUUUGCCUUUGUAACAUUUAAAGAACCCGGCAUGGGUUUCAAAUAGCUCCUCUGUGAUUCCAGAUGCAGCUUUCAGUUUCGUUAAGCCUAGGCUUUUGACUUCUAGUCUUUUGGUUUCUCUCUUAACUCUUUAAUUCCCCAUUUUAAUUAAUUUUGCUGUCCUUGUCCCCCACUCCCACUCCC
Molecule: long non-coding RNA, 712 nt
Organism: Mastomys coucha (southern multimammate mouse)
Lineage: Eukaryota; Metazoa; Chordata; Mammalia; Rodentia; Muridae
Exons: 3
Source: RefSeq, a predicted model, not a curated record